GGGGAAUUAGCUCAGGUGGGAGAGCGCCGGCUUUGCAAGCCGGAGGUCACCGGUUCGAACCCGGUAUUCUCCA
RNAcentral lists this transfer RNA (73 nucleotides) under bacterium. RNAcentral describes it as "tRNA-Ala". It matches the Rfam family "tRNA". Rfam says of the family: Transfer RNA (tRNA) molecules are approximately 80 nucleotides in length. RNAcentral also lists the same sequence under 1 other name. The record is from RNAcentral.